RNAcentral lists this ribosomal RNA (497 nucleotides) under uncultured bacterium. Its description in RNAcentral is "partial 16S ribosomal RNA". It matches the Rfam family "Bacterial small subunit ribosomal RNA", at positions 28 to 507 of the family's 1533-position model. The record is from RNAcentral.
GAUGAACGCUGGCGGCGUGCCUAAUACAUGCAAGUCGAGCGAACAGACGAGGAGCUUGCUCCUCUGACGUUAGCGGCGGACGGGUGAGUAACACGUGGAAAACCUACCUAACAGACUGGGAACACCUCGGGAAACCGGAGAAAAUAGCGGAUGAUAUAUUGAACCGCCUGGUUCAAUAGUGAAAGAUGGUUUUGAUGUAACAUAUCGAUGGAUCCCUGCCGCAUUAGGUAGUUGGUAAGGUAAAGGGUUACCAAGGCAAGCAUGCGUAGCCGACCGGGGGGGGUGGUCGGCGACACUAGAGCGGGGACGCCGUCCAUGCUCCUACGGGAGGCAGCAGUAGCGAAUCUGCCGCAGUGGGCGAAAACCUUACGGAGCAGCGCCACGUGUGUUAUGAAGGUCUUCGGAGCGGAAAACUCUGUUAUGAGUUAAAAACAAAUUUGUAAGUAACUAUGCACGUCUUGACGGUACCUAAUCAGAAAGCCACGGCUAACUACGUG